RNAcentral lists this ribosomal RNA (484 nucleotides) under uncultured bacterium. RNAcentral's name for it is "partial 16S ribosomal RNA". It matches the Rfam family "Bacterial small subunit ribosomal RNA", at positions 29 to 507 of the family's 1533-position model. The record is from RNAcentral.
AUUGGACGCUGGCGGCAUGCUUUACACAUGCAAGUCGAACGGCAGCGCGGGCUUCGGCCUGGCGGCGAGUGGCGAACGGGUGAGUAAUACAUCGGAACGUGCCCAGUAGUGGGGGAUAGCUCGGCGAAAGCCGGAUUAAUACCGCAUACGACCUGAGGGUGAAAGCGGGGGAUCUUCGGACCUCGCGCUAUUGGAGCGGCCGAUGGCAGAUUAGCUAGUUGGUGGGGUAAAGGCCUACCAAGGCGACGAUCUGUAGCUGGUCUGAGAGGACGACCAGCCACACUGGGACUGAGACACGGCCCAGACUCCUACGGGAGGCAGCAGUGGGGAAUUUUGGACAAGGGGCGAAAGCCUGAUCCAGCAAUGCCGCGUGUGUGAUGAAGGCCUUCGGGUUGUAAAGCACUUUUGGCGGGAACGAAAAGGACUGUGCCAAUACCACGGUUCGAUGACGGUACCCGCAGAAUAAGCACCGGCUAACUACGUG